This 766-nucleotide ribosomal RNA is filed under the name uncultured bacterium. RNAcentral describes it as "bacterial SSU rRNA". It matches the Rfam family "Bacterial small subunit ribosomal RNA", at positions 77 to 824 of the family's 1533-position model. The record is from RNAcentral.
CCUUCGGGGCGAGUAAAGUGGCGCACGGGUGAGUAACGCGUGGAUAAUCUACCCUUAAGAUGGGGAUAACGGCUGGAAACGGUCGCUAAUACCGAAUACGCUCCCGAUUUUAUCAUUGGGGGGAAAGAUGGCCUCUGCUUGCAAGCUAUCGCUUAAGGAUGAGUCCGCGUCCCAUUAGCUAGUUGGCGGGGUAACGGCCCACCAAGGCAACGAUGGGUAGCCGGUCUGAGAGGAUGACCGGCCACACUGGAACUGGAACACGGUCCAGACUCCUACGGGAGGCAGCAGUGGGGAAUAUUGCGCAAUGGGCGAAAGCCUGACGCAGCGACGCCGCGUGAGGGAUGAAGGUUCUCGGAUCGUAAACCUCUGUCAGGGGGGAAGAAACCCCCUCGUGUGAAUAAUGCGAGGGCUUGACGGUACCCCCAAAGGAAGCACCGGCUAACUCCGUGCCAGCAGCCGCGGUAAUACGGAGGGUGCAAGCGUUAAUCGGAAUCACUGGGCGUAAAGCGCACGUAGGCGGCUUGGUAAGUCAGGGGUGAAAUCCCACAGCCCAACUGUGGAACUGCCUUUGAUACUGCCAGGCUUGAGUACCGGAGAGGGUGGCGGAAUUCCAGGUGUAGGAGUGAAAUCCGUAGAUAUCUGGAGGAACACCGGUGGCGAAGGCGGCCACCUGGACGGUAACUGACGCUGAGGUGCGAAAGCGUGGGUAGCAAACAGGAUUAGAUACCCUGGUAGUCCACGCUGUAAACGAUGGGUGCUGGGUGCU